AUUGAACGCUGGCGGCAUGCUUUACACAUGCAAGUCGAACGGCAGCGCGGGCUUCGGCCUGGCGGCGAGUGGCGAACGGGUGAGUAAUACAUCGGAACGUGCCCAGCAGUGGGGGAUAGCUCGGCGAAAGCCGGAUUAAUACCGCAUACGACCUGAGGGUGAAAGCGGGGGAUCUUCGGACCUCGCGCUAUUUGAGCGGCCGUUGGCAGAUUAGCUAGUUGGUGGGGUAAAGGCCUACCAAGGCGACGAUCUGUAGCUGGUCUGAGAGGACGACCAGCCACACUGGGACUGAGACACGGCCCAGACUCCUACGGGAGGCAGCAGUGGGGAAUUUUGGACAAUGGGCGAAAGCCUGAUCCAGCAAUGCCGCGUGUGUGAUGAAGGCCUUCGGGUUGUAAAGCACUUUUGGCGGGAACGAAAAGGACUGUGCCAAUACCACGGUUCGAUGACGGUACCCGCAGAAUAAGCACCGGCUAACUACGUG
This 484-nucleotide ribosomal RNA is filed under the name uncultured bacterium. RNAcentral's name for it is "partial 16S ribosomal RNA". It matches the Rfam family "Bacterial small subunit ribosomal RNA", at positions 29 to 507 of the family's 1533-position model. The record is from RNAcentral.